Molecule: unclassified non-coding RNA, 21 nt
Filed under: Chlamydomonas reinhardtii
Lineage: Eukaryota; Viridiplantae; Chlorophyta; Chlorophyceae; Chlamydomonadales; Chlamydomonadaceae
Description: small RNA Cre_2545
Source: RNAcentral
UCCAGCAGCCCUUGCGCGUGC